UACGGAGGGUGCAAGCGUUAUCCGGAUUCACUGGGUUUAAAGGGUGCGUAGGUGGGCAGGUAAGUCAGUGGUGAAAUCUCCGGGCUUAACUCGGAAAGGUCAACUGAUACUGUGCGACUAGAGUGCAGAAGGGGCAACUGGAAUUCUCGGUGUAGCGGUGAAAUGCGUAGAUAUCGAUAGGAACACCUGCGGCGAAGGCGGGUUGCUGGGCUGACACUGACGCUGAUGCGCGAAAGCCAGGGGAGCGAACGGG
Molecule: ribosomal RNA, 253 nt
Filed under: uncultured prokaryote
Description: partial 16S ribosomal RNA
Rfam family: Bacterial small subunit ribosomal RNA
Source: RNAcentral